GACGUAGGGCGCGAGCGUUGUCCGGAUUUAUUGGGCGUAAAGAGCUCGUAGGCGGCUCGUUGCGUCGGCUGUGAAAACCCGCAGCUCAACUGUGGGCUUGCAGCUGAUACGGGCGGGCUUGGAUUCGGUAGGGGAGACUGGAAUUCCUGGUGUAGCGGUGAAAUGCGCAGAUAUCAGGAGGAACACCGGUGGCGAAGGCGGUUCUCUGGGCAUGUCCUGACGCUGAGGAGCGAAAGUGUGGGGAGCGAACAGG
RNAcentral lists this ribosomal RNA (253 nucleotides) under uncultured bacterium. RNAcentral describes it as "partial 16S ribosomal RNA". It matches the Rfam family "Bacterial small subunit ribosomal RNA", at positions 524 to 776 of the family's 1533-position model. The record is from RNAcentral.